ACAGAGGUGGCAAGCGUUAUUCGGAUUUAUUGGGCGUAAAGGGCGCGUAGGCGGUUAGGCACGUCCGGUGUGAAAACGCUACCGCUUAACGGAGCGAAUGCGCUGGAUACGGCCUGACUUGAGUCCGGGAGAGGUGAGCGGAAUUCCAGGUGUAGCGGUGGAAUGCGUAGAUAUCUGGAAGAACACCAGUGGCGAAGGCGGCUCACUGGCCCGGCACUGACGCUGAGGCGCGAAAGCGUGGGGAGCAAACGGC
RNAcentral lists this ribosomal RNA (253 nucleotides) under uncultured prokaryote. Its description in RNAcentral is "partial 16S rRNA". It matches the Rfam family "Bacterial small subunit ribosomal RNA", at positions 525 to 776 of the family's 1533-position model. The record is from RNAcentral.